This 348-nucleotide unclassified non-coding RNA is filed under the name soil metagenome. Its description in RNAcentral is "partial contains 5.8S ribosomal RNA, internal transcribed spacer 2, and large subunit ribosomal RNA". The stretch from base 1 to 120 matches the Rfam family "5.8S ribosomal RNA", at positions 35 to 154 of the family's 154-position model. The record is from RNAcentral.
GAUGAAGAACGUAGCGAAAUGCGAUAAGUAAUGUGAAUUGCAGAAUUCAGUGAAUCAUCGAGUCUUUGAACGCACAUUGCGCCCCCUGGUAUUCCGGGGGGCAUGCCUGUCCGAGCGUCAUUGCCGCCCUCAAGCACGGCUUGUGUGUUGGGCCCCCGCCCCCCGGCUUCGGGGGGCGGGCCCGAAAGGCAGCGGCGGCACCGCGUCCGGUCCUCGAGCGUAUGGGGCUUCGUCACCCGCUCUGUAGGCCCGGCCGGCGCCCGCCGGCGACCCCAAUCAAUCUUUCCGGGUUGACCUCGGAUCAGGUAGGGAUACCCGCUGAACUUAAGCAUAUCAAUAAGCGGAGGA